AGCUUGAUAGUUUAUUUAUAGAAUUUUUGAGUGUGGAUCAAAUGGAAUAUAGCUUUA
RNAcentral lists this transfer RNA (57 nucleotides) under Plectus acuminatus. RNAcentral's name for it is "tRNA-His". The record is from RNAcentral. Lineage: Eukaryota; Metazoa; Nematoda; Chromadorea; Plectida; Plectidae.